UGCAUAGGUUUCAACGGCGCGGUUGAGGCUCGCCCUAGCCUACCCCAAUUGGGGUGGGUUUGAUUGCCGUGGGUUCGGGUCCCACCCCUGGCGG
RNAcentral lists this transfer RNA (94 nucleotides) under Posidoniimonas polymericola. RNAcentral's name for it is "Planctomycetes bacterium Pla123a tRNA-Pyl". Lineage: Bacteria; Pseudomonadati; Planctomycetota; Planctomycetia; Pirellulales; Lacipirellulaceae. The record is from RNAcentral.